GGGAGAUAGUCAUUUCUGAGAUCUUCUGGUACCAUCCCCAAAGUCUGCAUUACUUUGUUCCUAUGGUGGAUGUGUAGUCAGGAACAGAUUAAUCUGCCUGGGAUGGGGAAGAAAGGUAAUCCUGUUUCCCCUGAGAUUAGGAAGGAGCAGGAAAAGAGGGAGAGAAAGAAACAUAUCCGUUUUAAAAAUAAAUUGCAGUGGCAGAGCAGCAAGGGCUACCUUCAAAACAUGAAGUGGACUGCUAUUACACACUGUCAAUGGGUAAUGGUCCUGAGUUAAGGCCUCACGUUGCAUCUGCCUUUGUACCCACUGUGGCCUCUGACUGCCUUAAGAUCAUACUAACACUACCAUUUUCUGAGCAUGUGGUCCACAGAGAGCCAUGAAGGCUGAUUAUUUCAGGUCCAUUCAUUUUUAUCCACACCUUUAAUCACCCAGCUGCUUUAUCCCAUAAAUAUCCCCAGACUCUAUCUUCAGGGAGGUGUAUUUGAGUCUUGGAUUUCCCCUCCACAUUUGAUCACCUUUCAAAUGCUUUCUUUUGCAAAACUUAUUGUUUUGGUGAUUGGCAUACUGUGCCUUGGGCAAAACAGGGCCUGGUUCCAUAAUACUGCUCAACCCACAACAAGAUCCUUAUCCCUCCUUUCCACAAUGCCAAGUUUUAUAAAGAUUAGAAGGAAACAAAGAGAAUAAUGAAGCCAGAUUUAAAAUUAGGUAGUCAGUGUAGUUAGGUAAAUCGGGUCUAACAUCGAGUAAGAUCUAAAAUGGAGGCCAUGCUGACAAUGAUUCCAGGAAACGCAGGACAACUCAUGGAAUGUUAAUGAAGUCCCCGGAAAGGCCCUAGGCCAAAGUCCACCCCAAAGAAAUGUUAAUGGAACUCUGGAAACAGCCCCAACAGAUUUGGAGAUAGCCCAUCCCAAAAAGUGAUAAUUAAGUCCUUCCUGCCCAGACUACUUGUUUGGCCCACCUGUGUCCUAACCCUUCCCCCUACAUUCCAUCACCAAAACUAUAAAAAGGGGAGACAACCGC
This 1023-nucleotide long non-coding RNA is filed under the name Marmota monax (woodchuck). Lineage: Eukaryota; Metazoa; Chordata; Mammalia; Rodentia; Sciuridae. The record is from RNAcentral.